Molecule: ribosomal RNA, 468 nt
Filed under: uncultured bacterium
Lineage: Bacteria
Description: partial 16S ribosomal RNA
Rfam family: Bacterial small subunit ribosomal RNA
Source: RNAcentral
GAUGAACGCUGGCGGCGUGCUUAAUACAUGCAAGUCGAACGGAAAGGCCCUGCUUUUGUGGGGCUCUCGAUUGGCGAACGGGUGAGUAACACGUGUGUAACCUGCCCUUGACUUUGGGAUAACUCUAGGAAACUGGGGCUAAUACCGGAUAGGAGCUCCUGCUCCAUGGUGGGGGUUGGAAAGUUUCGGCGGUUGGGGAUGGACUCGCGGCUUAUCGGCUUGUUAGUGGGGUAGUUGCUUACCAAGGGUGUGACGGGUAGCCUGCCUGAGAGGGUGACCGGCGACCAGAGGACUGAGGGAGGGACCAGUAGGGAACGGGACGCAACGGUGGGGAGUAUUGCAGAACAGGGGGGAGCGUGAUACGACGGCGCCGCGAUCGGAAAGACGGGCUUCGAGUGGAGAACAGCUGUCGCCUGAGACGAGGCGUGAGUGACGGUAAUGGGUAAGAAAGCAACGGCUAACUACGUG